CAGUGUGAGGACAAUCAGGCUAUGACAUCUGUCACCCCACUGAUUACCAGAGUUGACUUGGCUGAUCUCGCUGGCUGGCAAGCAUCCCCUUAUUCCCUCACUGCUCCAUUCACAUCUCUCCUGAAGAGAACUUUUAGUUGAAGAGUACUGUCACCCCUGAUAGAGGAGGACCACUUCCUCAGUCAAGUGGAGAGGGGUAGCUGAGGUCCCCUGCUCGAACGUCCGAACAAGCUUUCAUUAGAAAAAUGUGAUAUGGAUAUUUGCUACCUCUGAAUGAGGACCUGAGAAAGCUACAUUAGUGCAAUCCUGUUAACCAAGAAAAGAGACUU
Molecule: small nuclear RNA, 329 nt
Filed under: Octodon degus (degu)
Lineage: Eukaryota; Metazoa; Chordata; Mammalia; Rodentia; Octodontidae
Description: 7SK RNA (ENSODEG00000023131.1)
Rfam family: 7SK RNA (bases 1-278)
About the family: 7SK was discovered as an abundant small nuclear RNA in the mid-70s but a possible function has only recently been suggested. Two independent studies have found that 7SK RNA binds the CDK9/cyclin T complex (known as elongation factor P-TEFb).
Source: RNAcentral